RNAcentral lists this unclassified non-coding RNA (980 nucleotides) under Hevea brasiliensis (rubber tree). Lineage: Eukaryota; Viridiplantae; Streptophyta; Magnoliopsida; Malpighiales; Euphorbiaceae. The record is from RNAcentral.
CCCCCCCUUCUCCUUUUUUAUGGGACACCACCUUCUCCUUUUCAGAAGAAGAAUUUUCACCCGUCACCACCUUUUCCUGCCGUAUGUUUUUCUCGCUUGGUUUUGCCUCUGGACUAGUUUCGCUCGGCUUUUUCCAGACCGGGAUCGCGCGGACUCCCUUCCAACCAUACUCAAAUUGCGUAGCGAAACCUAAUGAUUGAUUCUUAUAAAUCACCAAGCGAGAGUUCAAAUAAUUCAAGAAGGUGGAGGUAAAGGUGUGCAAAGAUGCUACGACCAAAAACGCGUAUAGGAACAGUAGGUGAGCGUUCAAAAAGGAGAUUAAAGAUGUCAAAAAAGGUUCCAUUCCAAUGAAAUUAUUCAACAAAGAAUCUGCUCCCCCCAAAAAAUGAAGAGAGACUUGUCGGAAAUCGCCGGUUGGGUUAAUCCAACCAAGAAAGACAUGGGAAAAAGAUACAUAAAGAAAGAAGCUCGACAACAACAAGACAAGAGAAAAUGAACGAAAGACUCACCGGGGAUAAAGAACGAGACCUGUGAACUCAGAUAGCCUUGUGGCAUACCUUUCAUCCGCUACUUUCUUCUCUUAAGAUAUAAAUAUUCUAGUUUUUUGCUCCUAAAUGCAGUCGUGAUCUUAUUAUACGAUAGCACUCGCCAUCCUUUACGCUCUUGUCUGGUAAAUCCGCUUAGUCUGGAGUGGAGACCCCCUUUGCUAGUGAGGUAAUCGCCUAGUUCCUAUCUAUUCUAUCUGCCUGAUCACGGUCAAAUACCCCUCUGGUACAACUCCUUCCUAAUGCCCUUAUCCCUAGCAGCUUGGUCGGGAUGCCCUAAAUUCAGCACAGCAAGUAGCGAUUCGAAUUUGACAGUUUCAAGUCCGUGGGAAUCUUCGUAUUUCUUUCUUAGGGAGGUUUAAACCACUGAAUCAUCAAAGCAAGGUCUCGAACCAGAUUCUAUUAGAUCUUCGACCGUAAUUCGCCUAUCUGUCG